Molecule: RNA transcript, 894 nt
Organism: Propithecus coquereli (Coquerel's sifaka)
Lineage: Eukaryota; Metazoa; Chordata; Mammalia; Primates; Indriidae
Gene name: pre-mRNA-splicing factor SPF27 pseudogene
Exons: 1
Source: RefSeq, a predicted model, not a curated record
AUGGCGGGCACGGGCUUGGUGGCUGAAGAAGUUGUGGUGGACGCGCUGCCGUAUUUUGAUCAAGGUUACGAAGCACCUGGUGUGAGGGAAGCGGCUGCGGCGCUGGUGGAGGAGGACACCCGCAGGUAUCGACUAACUAAAAACUACCUGAGCUACCUGACAGCCCCAGAUUAUUCUGCUUUUGAAACUGACAUAAUGAGAAAUGAAUUUGAAAGACUGGCUGCUCGACAACCAAUUGAAUUGCUCAGUAUGAAACGAUAUGAGCUUCCAGCCCCUUCCUCAGGUCAGAAAAGUGACAUUACUGCAUGGCAAGAAUGUGUAAACAAUUCUAUGGCCCAGUUAGAGCACCAAGCAGUUCGAAUUGAGAAUCUGGAACUAAUGUCACAGCAUGGAUGUAAUGCCUGGAAAGUAUAUAAUGAAAAUCUGGUUCAUAUGAUUGAACAUGCACAGAAAGAGCUUCAGAAGUUAAGAAAACAUAUUCAGGAUUUAAACUGGCAGCGAAAGAACAUGCAACUCACAGCUGGAUCUAAAUUGAGAGAAAUGGAAUCAAAUUGGGUAUCCCUGGUCAGUAAGAAUUAUGAGAUUGAACGGACUAUUGUGCAACUAGAAAAUGAAAUCUAUCAAAUCAAGCAGCAACAUGGAGAGGCAAACAAAGAAAACAUCCAUCAAGACUUCUGAAAAGACAAAUUAAUUUUGAGGAUAGAAAGGAAGAAAGUUGGGCUUUCACAGAAGGCAUCUGAACUUUCUCUGAACUAUGAAGGACGACAGCAUUUCACAGAGACAGUUGAUGGUUAAAUGUUUAGAAAUCACAGAAUAUGUGAACUCUUGUGUUAAUUCUAUUUGUAUAUCUUAGGAAAAAUAAAAAUUUCUAAGUUGGUGGUAUUUUUAUAAAAA